Molecule: non-coding RNA, 219 nt
Filed under: Enterocloster bolteae
Lineage: Bacteria; Bacillati; Bacillota; Clostridia; Lachnospirales; Lachnospiraceae
Description: Clostridium bolteae T-box sequence
Rfam family: T-box leader
About the family: Uncharged tRNA acts as the effector for transcription antitermination of genes in the T-box leader family. T-boxes are found upstream of many aminoacyl-tRNA synthetase genes and some amino acid biosynthetic genes usually in Gram-positive bacteria.
Source: RNAcentral
GAUAUGACAUGGAAAGGGAACAGUAAGCGUGAUUGCACGUCACAGAGAGAGGGCCGCAGGUGAGAGGUCCUUACGGUUGGCAGAUGCUGAACCCACCCUGGAGUCCUGUAUGAUGAAUGCAGCGUAUGUCCGGCGUUAACGGAUGAUGAGAGAACCAUAAGGGCGGAUUAAGCCCGAAGGUUAAUAAGGGUGGUACCGCCGAGUCAUUCGGUCCCUUGU